UACAGAGGUCCCGAGCGUUGUUCGGAUUCACUGGGCGUAAAGGGUGCGUAGGUGGUCGGGUAAGUCUGAUGUGAAAUCUCCAAGCUCAACUUGGAAACUGCAUCGGAUACUAUUCGGCUUGAGGGUUGGAGGGGGGACUGGAAUGCUUGGUGUAGCAGUGAAAUGCGUAGAUAUCGGGAGGAACACCGGUGGCGAAGGCGGUUCUCUGGGCCUGACCUGACGCUGAGGAGCGAAAGCGUGGGGAGCGAACAGG
RNAcentral lists this ribosomal RNA (253 nucleotides) under uncultured bacterium. RNAcentral describes it as "partial 16S ribosomal RNA". It matches the Rfam family "Bacterial small subunit ribosomal RNA", at positions 524 to 776 of the family's 1533-position model. The record is from RNAcentral.